RNAcentral lists this ribosomal RNA (414 nucleotides) under uncultured bacterium. RNAcentral describes it as "bacterial SSU rRNA". It matches the Rfam family "Bacterial small subunit ribosomal RNA", at positions 355 to 767 of the family's 1533-position model. The record is from RNAcentral.
UAAGGAAUGUUGGUCAAUGGACGCAAGUCUGAACCAGCCAUGCCGCGUGAAGGAUGAAGGUCCUCUGGAUUGUAAACUUCUUUUAUCUGGGACGAAAACGGGAUUUUUAUCUCAAUUGACGGUACCGGAGGAAUAAGCACCGGCUAACUCCGUGCCAGCAGCCGCGGUAAUACGGAGGGUGCGAGCGUUAUCCGGAUUUACUGGGUUUAAAGGGUGCGUAGGUGGGCUUAUAAGUCAGUGGUGAAAUCUCCGAGCUUAACUUGGAAACUGCCGUUGAUACUAUAGGUCUUGAAUUAUCUGGAGGUAAGCGGAAUAUGUCAUGUAGCGGUGAAAUGCUUAGAUAUGACAUAGAACACCAAUUGCGAAGGCAGCUUACUACAUAUAAAUUGACGCUGAGGCACGAAAGCGUGGGGA